This 32-nucleotide non-coding RNA is filed under the name Homo sapiens (human). The record is from RNAcentral. Lineage: Eukaryota; Metazoa; Chordata; Mammalia; Primates; Hominidae.
UGUUUGAUGAGAGCACUACCUUCCUUCAGGAG